UGGACAUUUUAUUUCAACCAGCUUUGAAAUGUAAUCUAAAAAUUACAACAUAACACCUUUCUGUUGAAGUAGUCCCAAGAAAUUUAAGACGCCAUUUAUAACCGCUCUGAUUAAUACAACAUGCAGAGGUUGGUCACUCCUCGUUUGGCAGUUAGAGAUUUAAAUUCAAAUUCCAACGGUUUUCAACGGUUAAAAAAAAAAUAACCACAACAAAAAUAUCCAACUGACAAAACAAGCGUUUGUGUCCAUAUAUAAACCCAGCGUUAGCAAAUGUUUCACCUUUCUUGAUCGGGGUCGUCUAAUAACUGCGAUAAACCGAAAAGAGUGACUGUUUUAGUUUAAUAUAAGGCUGCUUAUCGUGGUCCGAAAUCCGCCCUAGCAUGCUUGCUGCCUUCGACGCAUACCACCAAGCUACCCCCGACUCCCUGGUCCUGCUACCGGUGCAGUAUGGUAUCGCCAUUUGCUUUGGAUCCCAUGAAUGGACAUGCAUGGAGAGAUGUCAGAGUGAGGAGGCUGCACACUGAUGGAGAAGUUGAGGCUCCAGUGCCUUGCUCAAGGGUAUCUCAACAGUGUGAACAGUCAGCCUCAGCCAUCAGCCCAAUUUGUAUACUUAUGUCUGUUCCGGAACUUGAACUGGUGACCCCUCUUGUGUCCUCAACCCAAGUCCCUGCAAACUGUUUAUCAUAAAGUCUUCAGUUGCAUUAUGGUCUUGCACUUUGCUACUUGAUAUAGUCUACACAGUGUAAACAUGUAAUUUAAAAGGAAUUGCAAAUAAAUGCAGAAAAGAAAAAGUCAAA
Molecule: long non-coding RNA, 797 nt
Organism: Notolabrus celidotus (New Zealand spotty)
Lineage: Eukaryota; Metazoa; Chordata; Actinopteri; Labriformes; Labridae
Exons: 2
Source: RefSeq, a predicted model, not a curated record